AGAGCAGAAGGUGGACAGACUGGUUUAGUAAACCAGGAAACCUGUUGGUGUGAAACAAACAGCUGCUGGCCAGAAACGCGUCAUCAUUUUGAAUCAUGAAGUUUCCUGUGCUGCUGCUCUGCUCUGUGCUGCUGCUCUCCAUCUCAGGUCUGUCUCUUUUUAAAGGUUUAUUUAUCACAUGUUUAAGCUAAAGAGUCAAAACUCUUUACUGGCCGAAGUACCAACUUGUAAAACUCCAAACUGAUUGAACCUCAAACUGACCACAGUUACUCUGCUGUCACUGUGAUGAUUAAUCUUGGAACAGAGCUCAGAUUAAAUCUGUGUUUACCAUAUAAGAAUCACAGAAGUAGGCCAGUGGAAAAAACUUUUUUGGACUGUAGGAUUCAUUAAGGGAAUUAUUCAUUCAUGGACAUGUUGAUUUAUGAUGAAUAGAGUGUAAACACAGAUUAGUGUGUUUAUUUUUGUUUGCUUUAACAUGUUUUUUGUUUUUUACAGACAGACUGUGACAUUAAUGUGUUAACUAUGAACUGUUUCUGACUAUGAUCUAAGUAUGCAUUACUGGACUCCUUUAAUCAGGACUGAAAUUCUAUCUUUAUAAGGGAACAGGCUGUGAGACGAAAUAGUUCCUCUUUCACAGGUUGUCAACCUCACUUCAGGUCCUUUUUACAGAGACAGGAAAGAUGCAGAGUGAUGAUCUGCUGGGUCACAUUUCUGAGCCAAACACUGUGACAUCUUCCCAUUGUUCUCUAACGAAUGUGUUUGUGUGUCUUCAGAGAUACAGGCUGAUAUUAGAUUAUUUUUUAAUCCAGUUUUCUCAUAGAGGAGGCUGUGGUUUUUUCUCUCAGUCCAUGUGACUGUUUUACAGCAAUAAAACAUAGCUUUAAGCUCCACCACAGUGAGCAAUAAUCAUUGGAGGACAGUAAAGAAUUGUAAUAAGUCUCCUCAAAGAAUAAUACUCCAGCGAAUACUCAAAAAUGGACUUGGCCAUGACCUACAUUAACACACAACAGGUGGAUAUUUUUUCCCACCUUAUUGUUCACAGCUUGUAACCUUAGAGCCUUGCUUCUCUUCACACACCUGACUGUUGUCUACUGUAUUAUUUAGAAAAUUUAAAAAAAUUAGACAGGUCCCUUUUAAAGCUUUAAAUUCCUUCUCUGACAGAAAAGCCACACCUGCCACAUUCAUCUACAGAUUAUGACUGAGAUAGGAGUCACUCUCUGUUCAAUUGAAUCUCAUGUGUAAUGUGUGUACGUGCGUGUGUCUGUGUGUGUGUGUGUGUGUGUGUGUGUGUGUGUGUGUGUGUGUGUGUGUGUGUGUGUGUGUGUGUGUGUGUGUGUGUAGUCCUGUCUCAGGAAAAUGAGGGUCCACCUGAUGGACAAGGAGACUCUGCUAAACCCAAGGCGGUAAGACUCAGAAACACACACAUUAACACACUAAUACUCAUGCAGAGCUCGGAGGAGUGGUGUGUUUCCGUUGAUGUUAAGUUGUAAACAUGAUUUCGUCACUUCUAAACCUUCUGGGGUGAAUUUACCAAGAACAGAGUGGAGUUGCCUUUUUUACCAUGAGUUGUGCAUCAUUUGCCUUUGCUCUGAGCUCCAUCUCCACCACUCAUGUACAUUUGUGCAGAAAUUAAAGGCUACAAAUUUAUUGAUGAGAUGUGUGUGUGUGUUUUUGCGUGUGUGUGUGCGUGUGUGUUUUAUCCAGGCCCAUUGUGAGAAAUACAACUUACCUAUCUGCAAUCGGGAUCUUAACCCUGUUUGCGGUGAUGAUGGCGUAACCUACAGUAACGAGUGUACACUCUGUGUUCACAACUUGUAAGAUGUGCACACACACACACACACACACACACACACACACACACACACACACACACACACACACACACACACACACACACACAAAUCUGCUCUUUCAAUCCUUUGUGAGACUUUGUGAGAUUCUGGAUACAUGAUUUUGGCCAGUAUGCAGUAUGUCUCCAGAAAAUAAAAAGAGGCUGAGAGAGGAACCCUGAAGAACACCAUACUGAGGUUUAUCAGAGAGACAGAAAAACUCCUGUCAGAGAUAUAUUUACAGUCUAUAGCUCCCACACUCUGAUUUCUCAAAGACUAUUUUUAUAAUUAUCGUAUUAACUCCACACACACACACACACACACAUUUCAAAUGUAAAAACUAACUUCUUGAAUAUUCUGGGUUUUUUCUUUGUUUGUUUUUCUACAGGGAGAAGAAGGACAAUGUGAAAAUCCUGAAAAAAAGGAACUGUAGCGAUUAACUGCUGUGUGCCACACGCAUGCACACACAUACUGAAUAAAGUCUCAUACUGAUUCCCUCACACCCUCUGUCUGUGUGUUCAUUUCACUUGAACUCAGAAGAUAAAGCAGAGUCUGAAACACUGAUCUCCAUGUUUGGAGCUCAAACACCUACCUCAUGUUUUUACCUGCUCAGACCCAACAGUAAAUUAAUGAAUAACUCUGAGAAACAUCAAAACACUGCGCUGUAUUAGAUGUAUCCCUGAGAUCUCUGGGAUGCAUGUAAACAGACAGCAUAUGGUGGCCCAGAAGGUCAAUGCAAGAAAUUUUUCAGGAAGGCAAUGAGGAGAUAUUUUGGAUAAAGAACAGAAAACAUUUAAUUGUGUGAAAAAAUAUAUCCUAACACCCACAAACAUUUUACAUAACAAAACAACAAACGUUAACAAAAUGUGUACUGGAAAACACACAAAGAAUAAAGAAAAUAUUAAAAUGUUUAAGAAAAACAUUUUGAAAACAAAAAUAUUUUGGAAACAGGUAUUUUCAAAACAUAAGAGAACUUUGAUAAAGGAAAAAAUAUUCUAAAACCAUCAAAAAUUGUUUAUAAAAUGCACAUUUUGGAACCAUGACAAUAUUUUGAAAACACAAAUACAUUUGUAAACACAAAAAUAUUUUAAAAAACAAAAAUAGUUAUGAUAUAAAUUUAUAUAUAUAUAUAUUACAUAAAUAUGUUAUAUAAAAUUUAUAUAAAAUAUAAUUUUUUUAUUUUAUGAAAAAAUUCUCUUACCUAAAAAUGUUCUGCUCUCAAAAUGUUUUGCUGCCAAAGGGGUAGGGGUAGGGCCAAACCACUUGAUUGUGAUGGGACAAAAUUGAGGUGCUGAAGUAUUUAACAUUUCUGUAUUUUCAAAAUAUAUUUGCUUUUUAAAUUAUUAUUAUUAUUAUUAUUUUAAUUAGUGUUGAUCCGUGGUUUAAAAAUCGCUUUUUAUACAAAGUACUAGGGCCAAAAGUCUGUUGAUCCUAGAGAAUUCUCAGAUAUUAACCCAUUCAGACAGCACAUUUACAUGUUGUUCAAACGUUAGGAUUUUUGCCUUAGUUGGACUGGGACUGGACCUCUGGUAUUUUGGCCUCCUGUAUGGAAUAGAUAAUUCACAAAUCUAAAGUUGAUACAACUCUAUAGCUCAUGGAACUAAUAAUAAUCUAGGUUGGCCUGCUCCUGCAGCCCCACGACCAUGAGAUUGUAAGCAAGGCUGUCUUGCAGGAGCCCGAACUAUCUGUCUGUUGGAACAUUUAAUCUCUGCCAGGGUCAAGACGAACCUAAACAAAGUGUCGUGGGGCAGACAUGUCAUCAUGAGGGGCCUUCUGGAGAAUUCACAUACACAUACACACACACACACACACACACACACACACACACACACACACACACACACACACACACACACACACACACACACACACACACACACACACACACACACACACACACACACACACACACACACACACACACACUCACACAGGAUAAAAGGGAGUAGAAGAAAAGCUAGGGAGGCUUCCUUCGGUCUUGGUCGAGACUCUGUUUGUCAUCUGUACUGAUUUCAACAUCUGUACUAUGAAAGACGCCCCAGGCUGUUCUUCAGAUCUCAUCCUGUCUCCUGUGCACUGUUUUACUAAGUUUAUGCUGGACUUUCUACAACAUUUGCCUCUGCUCUGAGCUCCAUCUCCACCACUCAUGUACAUUUGUGUAGUAAUUAAAGGCUACAAAUGUAUUUAUGAGAUGCGUGUGUGCGUUUUUGCGUGUGUUUUUGUGUAUGUGUUUUUGUGUUUUAUCCAGGUGCAUUGUGAGAAAUACAAUUUACCUUACUGCCAUCAGGAUUAUAACCCUGUUUGUGGUGAUGAUGGCAAAACCUACAGUAACGAGUGUACACUCUGUUUUCGCAACUUGUAAGAUGUGCACUCCAUGUUUGGAGCUCGACCACCAACCUCAUGUUUUUACCUGUUCAGACCCAACAGUAAAUUAAUGAAUAACUCUGAGAAACAUCAAAACACUGCGCUGUUAGGAUAAAAUAUUACCUUACACCCACAAACAUUUUACAUAACAAAACAACAAAUGUUAACAAAAUGUGUAUUGGAAAACACACAAAGAAUAAAGAAAAUAUUAAAAUGUUUAAGAAAAACAAAAACAUUUUGAAAACAAAAAUAUUUUGGAAACAGAUAUUUUCAAAACACAUGAGAACUUUGAUAAAGGAAAUAAUAUUAUAAAACCAAUAAAAUUGUUUAUAAAAUGCAAAUUUUGGAACCAUGAAAAUAUUUUGUAAACACAAAUAAAUUUGAAAAUACAAAAAUAUUUUAAAAAACAAAAAUACUUAUGAGAAAACUCAAUAAUACUUAAGAGUAUAAAAAAAUUAUCUUACCUAAAUAUGUUCUGCUCUCAAAAACUUUUGCUGCCAAAGGGGUAGGGGUAGGGCCAAACCACUUGAUUGUGAUGGGACAAAAUUGAGGUGCUGAAGUAUUUAACAUUUUUGUAUUUUCAAAAUAUAUUUGCUUUUUUAAUUAUAUAUAUAUUUCCUCAAAUUAGUGUUGAUCCGUGGUUUAAAAAUCGGUCUGCUUUUUAUACAAAGUACGAGGGCCAAAAGUCUGUUGAUCCUGGAGAAUUCUCAGAUAUUAACCCAUUCAGACAGCACAUUUACAUGUUGUUCAAAAGUUAGGGUUUUUGCCUUAGUUGGACUGGGACUGGACCACUGUCAUAUGUUUUUGUGUAACUGUAGCCUGGUACUUUUGAAAAGUCAUCAGUGAAAAAAAAAGGUGCAGCCUGUCUCGGAUCAAUGUGAAAAUGCAUUUUUAAAACUGUAACAAAACAAAGUCCAACCACAGUAUGAAGAAACUGAAAAGAAACAAACUAUAAAGUCAGUUGAACAGAGAAGAAGAAGACGAAGGUAUAUAAUAUAUAAUAUACCCCUCAGAGCAGGUGUACAUUAGUUUUACUUUAAAUACAUGCUAUAUGAUCUUUGUCUGUUUUUAAGGUUUAUAAAAUAAAGGGUGUCACAUUUAUUUAUUUACCACUAACCCUAACCAAUAACAAUGUAAUCAACAAAUUAUUAAAAGUGUUUCAUAGUUUUAUUAAAAGGUCUUUAUACCCAGCAUAAUUUAAAAUGAUUAAAUUCUGGAAGUCGUCAAGCUUCCUGUGUUUAUCUAAAGCAAUGUUUUUACAUGCAUAUCAAUCACGUUUAACAUAACUGUAAUAUAUGGUGUCAUCUCUCCUGUUUAAGCUUCUUUGAACCGGCUUUCUACUUGUUCUUCGAUUUUACUGAUGACUUUUAAAGCUCCCCAUUGCUUUUUUUCAGCUAGAACAUCUGAUAGUGCUGUUUGAGCUGACACAUACAAGAUCCAUCUGCUGAGAUCUGUGCCUUAGCAGUGAAGGAUCAAAACUCUCAUGAAUCAGUCUGCCAAAGGGGAUCAGGUCUGCUUGGGAACUCAUCUCUUAAAUUUUCCUGAACACUUUUAUUUGUGAGUCAGUCCUGAUCUUACACAAUAUUGGGGUCUAUCAAAUUUAUCUCCUACAGUUCUGUUGUAUUUUGCUGUCUGCGUUGUGCACUGUAUAUGGGAUUUUGAUGGUCGAUAAAGUGAAGUUUAUCAUUAUAUAUAAUAAUCAGAAGGAUAUUAGUGUUAGAUUUAAAAAAAACGGAUUCCCGAUGACGAACAUCAGUACUCUGAUCAGACGCAACGACGGUCUUUGUAACCACUAAGGGGCACUGCUGCACAGGAAACUCCGUAAGUCUUAAUAUACAAGCAUGUAGUUCCUGCUGUGGGCCAACAGGAGGCGCAGCGAAAAUUUGAAUUUUGUUUUCUAUAUAUACUUAUUCAUUGACUGAUUGGUCAUCAUUUUGAAUCAUGAAGCUUCCUCUGCUGCUGCUCUGCUCUGUGCUGCUGCUCUCCAUCUCAGGUCUGUCUCUUUUUAAAGGUUUAUUUAUCACAUGUUUAAGCUACAGAGUCAAAACUCUUUACUGGCCAAAGUACCAACUUGAAGAGCUCCAAACUGAUUGAACCUCAAACUGACCACAGUUACUCUGCUGUCACUGUGAUGAUUAAUCUUGGAACAGAGCUCAGAUUAAAGGCCAGUGGAAAAAAGUUUUUUGGACUUUAGGAUUCAUUAAGGGAAUUAUUCAUUCAUGGACAUGUUGAUUUAUGAUGAAUAGAGUGUAAACACAGAUUAGUGUGUUUAUUUUUGUUUGCUUUAACAUGUUUUUUGUUUUUUUACAGACAGACUGUGACAUUAAUGUGUUAACUAUGAACUGUUUCUGACUAUGAUCUAAGUAUGCAUUACUGAACUCCAUUAAUCAGGACUGAAAUUCUAUCUUCAUAAGGGAAAAGGCUGUGAGAUGAAAUAGUUCCUCUUUCACAGGUUGUCAACCUCACUUCAGGUCCUUUUUACAGAGACAGAAAAGAUGCAGAGUGAUGAUCUGCUGGGUCACAUUUCUGAGCCAAACACUGUGACAUCUUCCCAUUGUUCUCUAAUGAAUGUGUUUGUGUGUCUUCAGAGAUACGGACUGAUAUUAGAUUGUUUUUUUAUCCAGUUUUCUCAUAGAGGAGGCUUUGGUUUUUUCUCUCAGUCCAUGUGACCGUUUUACAGCAAUAAAACAUAGCUUUAAGCUCCACCACAGUGAGCAAUAAUCAUUGGAGGACAGUAAAGAAUUGUAUUUAGUCUCCUCAAAGAAUAAUACUACAGCGAAUACUCAAAAAUGGACUUUGCCAUGACCGACAUUAACACACAACAGGUGGAUAUUUUUUCCCACCUUAUUGUUCACAGGUUGUAACCUUAGAACCUUGCUUCUCUUCACACACCUGACUGUUGUCUACUGUAUUAUUUAGAAAAUUAAAAAAAUUAGACCGGUCCCUUUUAAAGCUUUAAAUCUCUUCUCUGACAGAAAAGCCACACCUGCCACAUUCAUCUACAGAUUAUUACUGAGAUAGGAGUCACUCUCUGUUCAAUUGAAUCUCAUGUGUAAUGUGUGUACGUGCAUGCGUGCAUUUGUGUGUGUGUGUGUGUGUGUGUGUGUGUAGUCCUGUCUCAGGAAAAUGAGGGUCCAGCUGACGGACAAGGAGACUGUGCUGAACCCUGGGCGGUAAGACUCAGAAACACACACAUUAACACACUAAUACUCAUGCAGAGCUCAGAGGAGUGGUGUGUUUCCGUUGAUGUUAAGUUGUAAACAUGAUUUUGUCACUUCUAAACCUUCUGGGGUGAAUUUACCAAGAACAGAGUGGAGUUGCCUUUUGUACCAUGAGUUGUGCAUCAUUUGUGUAGGGGAAUCUCUUCAUACAUUUAGGUUAAGAAAUAUAGAGUAAUUAUCUUUUAGUAAGAAGCUACAAAUAAUCUAGGUUGGCCUGCUCCUGCAGCCCCACGACCAUGAGAUUGUAAGCAAGGCUGUCUUGCAGGAGCCCGAACUAUCUGUCUGUUGGAACAUUUAAUCUCUGCCAGGGUCAAGACGAACCUAAACAAAGUGUCGUGGGGCAGACAUGUCAUCAUGAGGGGCCUUCUGGAGAAUUCACAUACACACACACACACACACACACACACACACACACACACACACACACACACACACACACACACACACACACACACACAGGAUAAAAGGGAGUAGAAGAAAAGCUAGGGAGGCUUCCUUCGGUCUUGGUCGAGACUCUGUUUGUCAUCUGUACCGAUUUCUACAUCUGUACUAUUAAAGACGCCCCAGGCUGUUCUUCAGAUCUCAUCCUGUCUCCUGUGCACUGUUUUACUAAGUUUAUGCUGGACUUUCUACAACAUUUGCCUCUGCUCUGAGCUCCAUCUCCACCACUCAUGUACAUUUGUGUAGUAAUUAAAGGCUACAAAUUUAUUGAUGAGAUGUGUGUGUGUGUUUUUGCAUGUGUGUGUGCGUGUGUGUUUUAUCCAGGCCCGUUGUGAGAAAUACAACUUACCUAUCUGCCAUCGGGAUCUUAACCCUGUUUGUGGUGAUGAUGGGGAAACCUACAGUAACGAGUGUACACUCUGUUUUCGCAACUUGUAAGAUGUGCGCACACACACGCACGCACACACACACACACACACACACACACACACACACACACACACACACACACACACACACACACACACACACACACAAAUCUGCUCUUUCAAUCCUUUCUACCUGUUAAGGUAAUUCGUGGAGACAGUUGAUUACUGGACAGCUGACCAGUAACUUCUGCUCUGAGAUCAAUCUGAUGUUUUCAUCCAUUGUCUGUGCUCUUACUGAGCUCAGAUCAAUGGAUGGCUUAGUUUGAGCAGAGAGAGCAGUGUGUUGUUAGCAUGCAGAUGGAUCACGAUGGCUGCAUCAUUGAGUUUAAAGAGAUUUUAGGGUGAACAGGUUGUAUUUCUGUGAGUUGGGCUCUUUUAUGCUCUAGUGAGACUUUAUGAGAUUCUGGAUACAUGAUUUUGGCCAGUAUGCAGUAUGUCUCCAGAAAAUAAAAACAGGCUGAGAGAGGAACCCUGAGGAACACCAUACUGAGGUUUAUCAGAGAGACAGAAAAACUCCUGUCAGAGAUAUAUUUACAGUCUAUAGCUCCCACACUCUGAUUUCUCAAAGACUAGUUUUACAAUAUUCGUAUUAACUCCACACACACAUUUCAAAUGUAAAAACUAACUCCUUGAAUAUUCUGUUUUUUUUUGUUUUGUUUUUGUUUUUCUACAGGGAGAAUCACGCCACUGUGAAAAUUCUGAGAGAAGGGAAAUGCGAUUAACUGCUGUGUGCCACACACAUGCACACACAUACUGAAUAAAGUCUCAUACUGAUUCCCUCACACCCUCUGUCUGUGUGUUUAUUUCACUUGAACUCUGAAGAUAAAGCAGACUCUGAAACACUAAUCUCCAUGUUUGGAGCUCGACCACCUACCUCAUGUUUUUGCCUGUUCAGACCCAACAGUAAAUUAAUGAAUAACUCUGAGAAACAACAAAACACUGCGCUGUUAGGAUAAAAUAUUACCUUACACCCACAAACAUUUUACAUAACAAAACAACAAAUGUUAACAAAAUCUGUAUUGGAAAACACGCAAAGAAUAAAGAAAAUAUUAAAAUGUUUAAGAAAAACAAAAACUUUUUGAAAACAAAAAUAUUUUGGAAACAGAUAUUUUCAAAACACAAGGGAACUUUGAUAAAGGAAAAAAUAUUAUAAAACCAUUAAAAUUGUUUAUAAAAUGCAAAUUUUGGAACCAUGAAAAUAUUUUGAAAACACAAAUAAAUUUGUAAAUACAAAAAUAUUUUAAAAAACAAAAAUAGUUAUGAGAAAACACUAUAAUACUUAAGAGUAUAAAAAAAAUUUAUCUUACCUAAAAAUGUUCUGCUCUCAAAAUGUUUUGCUGCCAAAGGGGUAGGGGUAGGGCCAAACCACUUGAUUGUGAUGGGACAAAAUUGAGGUGCUGAAGUAUUUAACAUUUUUGUAUUUUCAAAAUAUAUUUGCUUUUUUAAUUAUUAUUCCUUUUUUUUGCUGAGAUCUGUGCCUUAGCAGUGAAGGAUCAAAACGCUCAUGAAUCAGUCUGCCAAAGGGGAUCAGGUCUGCUUGGGAACUCAUCUCUUAAAUUUUCCUGAACACUUUUAUUUGUGAGUCAGUCCUGAUCUUGCACAAUAUUGGGGUCUAUCAAAUUUAUCUCCUACAGUUCUGUUGUAUUUUGCUGUCUGCGUUGUGCACUGUGUAUGGGAUUUUGAUGGUCUAUUAAGUGAAGUUUAUCAUUAUAUAUAAUAAUCAGAAGGAUAUUAGUGUUAGAUUUAAAAAAAACGGAUUCCCGAUGACGAAUUUCAGUACUCUGAUCAGACGCAACGGUCGUUGUAACCACUAGGGGGCACUGCUGCACAGGAAACUCCGUAAGUCUUAAUAUACAAGCAUGUAGUUCCUGCUGCGGGCCAACAGGAGGCGCAGCGAAAAUUUGAAUUUUGUUUUCUAUAUAUACUUAUUCAUUGACUGAUUGGUCAUCAUUUUGAAUCAUGAAGCUUCCUCUGCUGCUGCUCUGCUCUGUGCUGCUGCUCUCCAUCUCAGGUCUGUCUCUUUUUAAAGGUUUAUUUAUCACAUGUUUAAGCUACAGAGUCAAAACUCUUUACUGGCCAAAGUACCAACUUGUAAAACUCUAAACUGAUUGAACCUCAAACUGACCACAGUUACUCUGCUGUCACUGUGAUGAUUAAUCUUGGAACAGAGCUCAGAUUAAAGGCCAGUGGAAAAAAGUUUUUUGGACUUUAGGAUUCAUUAAGGGAAUUAUUCAUUCAUGGACAUGUUGAUUUAUGAUGAAUAGAGUGUAAACACAGAUUAGUGUGUUUAUUUUUGUUUGCUUUAACAUGUUUUUUUGUUUUUUACAGACAGACUGUGACAUUAAUGUGUUAACUAUGAACUGUUUCUGACUAUGAUCUAAGUAUGCAUUACUGAACUCCAUUAAUCAGGACUGAAAUUCUAUCUUCAUAAGGGAAAAGGUUGUGAGAUGAAAUAGUUCCUCUUUCACAGGGUGUCAACCUCACUUCAGGUCCUUUUUACAGAGACAGAAAAGAUGCAGAGUGAUGAUCUGCUGGGUCACAUUUCUCUGAGCUAAACACUGUGACAUCUUCCCAUUGUUCUCUAACGAAUGUGUUUGUGUGUCUUCAGAGAUACGGACUGAUAUUAGAUUAUUUUUUAUCCAGUUUUCUCAUAGAGGAGGCUGUGGUUUUUUCUCUCAGUCCAUGUGACCGUUUUACAGCAAUAAAACAUAAAUUUAUGCUCCACCACAGUGAGCAAUAAUCAUUGGAGGACAGUAAAGAAUUGUAAUAAGUCUCCUCAAAGAAUAAUACUCCAGCGAAUACUCAAAAAUGGGACUUGGCCAUGACCGACAUUAACACACAACAGGUGGAUAUUUUUUCCCACCUUAUUGUUCACAGCUUGUAACCUUAGAGCCUUGCUUCUCUUCACACACCUGACUGUUGUCUACUGUAUUAUUUAGAAAAUUAAAAAAAUUAGACCGGUCCCUUUUAAAGCUUUAAAUCUCUUCUCUGACAGAAAAGCCACACCUGCCACAUUCAUCUAAAGAUUAUUACUGAGAUAGGAGUCACUCUCUGUUCAAUUGAAUCUCAUGUGUAAUGUGUAUACGUGCAUGCGUGCAUUUGUGUGUGUGUGUGUGUGUGUGUGUGUGUAGUCCUGUCUCAGGAAAAUGAGGGUCCAGCUGACGGACAAGGAGACUGUGCUGAACCCUGGGCGGUAAGACUCAGAAACACACACAUUAACACACUAAUACUCAUGCAGAGCUCAGAGGAGUGGUGUGUUUCCGUUGAUGUUAAGUUGUAAACAUGAUUCCGUCACUUCUAAACCUUCUGGGGUGAAUUCACCAAGAACAGAGUGGAGUUGCCUUUUGUACCAUGAGUUGUGCAUCAUUUGCCUCUGCUCUGAGCUCCAUCUCCACCACUCAUGUACAUUUGUGUAGUAAUUAAAGGCUACAAAUUUAUUGAUGAGAUGCGUGUGUGUGUGUUUUUGCGUGUGUUUUUGUGUGUGCGUGUGUGUUUUAUCCAGGCCCAUUGUGAGAAAUACGACUUACCUUACUGCUUUAAGGUUUAUAACCCUGUUUGCGGUGAUGAUGGCGUAACCUACAGUAACGAGUGUACACUCUGUUUUCACAACUUGUAAGAUGUGCACACACACACACACACGCACGCACGCACAACCACACACACACACACACACACACACACACACACACACACACACACACACACACACACACACACACACACACACACACAAAUCUGCUCUUUCAAUCCUUUUCUACCUGUUAAGGUAAUUCGUGGAGACAGUUGAUUACUGGACAGCUGACCAGUAACUUCUGCUCUUAGAUCAAUCUGAUGUUUUCAUCCAUUGUCUGUGCUCUUACUGAGCUCAGAUCAAUGGAUAGCUUAGUUUGAGCAGAGAGAGCAGUGUGUUGUUAGCAUGCAGAUGGAUCAUGAUGGCUGCAUCAUUGAGUUUAAAGAGAUUUUAGGGUGAACAGGUUGUAUUUCUGUGAGUUGGGCUCUUUUAUGCUCUAGUGAGACUGUGAGAUUCUGGAUACAUGAUUUUGGCCAGUAUGCAGUAUGUCUCCAGAAAAUAAAAAGAGGCUGAGAGAGGAACCCUGAAGAACACCAUACUGAGGUUUAUCAGAGAGACAGAAAAACUCCUGUCAGAGAUAUAUUUACAGUCUAUAGCUCCCACACUCUGAUUUCUCAAAGACUAUUUUUACAAUAUUCGUAUUAACUCCACACACACAUUUCAAAUGUAAAAACUAACUCCUUGAAUGUUCUGGGGGUUUUUUUGUUUGUUUUUCUACAGGGAGAAUCACGCCACUGUGAAAAUCCUGAGAGAAGGGGAAUGCGAUUAACUGCUGUGUGCCACACGCAUGCACACACAUACUGAAUAAAGUCUCAUACUGAUUCCCUCACACCCUCUGUCUGUGUGUUCAUUUCACUUGAACUCUGAAGAUAAAGCAGCGUCUGAAACACUGAUCUCCAUGUUUGGAGCUCGACCACCUACCUCAUGUUUUUACCUGUUCAGACCCAACAGUAAAUUAAUGAAUAACUCUGAGAAACAUCAAAACACUGCGCUGUUAGGAUAAAAUAUUACCUUACACCCACAAACAUUUUACAUAACAAAACAACAAACAUUAACAAAAUCUGUAUUGGAAAACACACAAAGAAUAAAGAAAAUAUUAAAAUGUUUAAGAACAACAAAAACAUUUUGAAAACAAAAAUAGUUGGAAACAGAUAUUUUCAAAACAUAAGAGAACUUUGAUAAAGGAAAAAAUAUUGUAAAACCAUUAAAAUUGUUUAUAAAACGCAAAUCUUGGAACCAUGAAAAUAUUUUGAAAACACAAAUAAAUUUGUAAAUACAAAAAUAUAUAAAAAAAAAAAAAUAGUCAUGAGAAAAAACAAUAAUACUUAAGAGUAUAAAGAAAAAUUCUCUUACCUAAAAAUGUUCUGCUCUCAAAAUAUUUUGCUGCCAAAGGGGUAGGGGUAGGGCCAAACCACUUGAUUGUGAUGGGACAAAAUUGAGGUGCUGAAGUAUUUAACAUUUUUGUAUUUUCAAAAUAUAUUUGCUUUUUUAAUUAUUAUCACCUUUUUUUUAAUUAGUGUUGAUCUGUGGUUUAAAAAUCGGUCUGCUUUUUAUACAAAGUACUAGGGCCGAAAGUCUGUUGAUCCUGGAGAAUUCUCAGAUAUUAACCCAUUCAGACAGCACAUUUACAUGUUGUUCAAAAGUUAGGAUUUUUGCCUUAGUUGGACUGGGACUGGACCUCUGGUAUUUUGGCCUCCUGUGUGGAAUAGAUAAUUCACAAAAAUAAAGUUGAUUUAACUCUAUAGCUCCUGGAACUCACUAUGCAACAUGUACCUGCCCUCCUCAAAGCAUGUGUCAUGUCCUUUGUUGCAGCAUUUCUUAUUUCUUAAUUUCCUGUUUUUUUUGUCCUGUCAUAUGUUUUUGUGUAACUGUAGCCUAGUACUUUUGAAAAGUCAUCAGUGAAAAAAAAAAGGUGCAUCCUCUCUCGGAUCAAUGUGAAAGUGCAUUUUUAAAACUGUAACAAAACAAACUCCAACCACAGUAUGAAGAAACUGAAAAGAAACAAACUAUAAAGUCAGUUGAACAGAGAAGAAGAAGACGACCUUUAUUGAUCCCCGAGGGGAAAUUCAUUGAGAUAUAUAAUAUAUAAUAUACCCCUCAGAGCAGGUGUACAUUAGUUUUACUUUAAAUACAUGCUAUAUGAUCUUUGUCUGUUUUUAAGGUUUAUAAAAUAAAGGGUGUCACAUUUAUUUAUUUACCACUAACCCUAACCAAUAACAAUGUAAUCAACAAAUUAUUAAAAGUGUUUCAUAGUUUUAUUAAAAGGUCUUUAUACCCAGCAUAAUUUAAAAUGAUUAAAUUCUGGAAGUCGUCAAGCUUCCUGUGUUUAUCUAAAGCAAUGUUUUUACAUGCAUAUCAAUCACGUUUAACAUAACUGUAAUAUAUGGUGUCAUCUCUCCUGUUUAAGCUUCUUUGAACCGGCUUUCUACUUGUUCUUCGAUUUUACUGAUGACUUUUAAAGCUCCCCAUUGCUUUUUUUCAGCUAGAACAUCUGAUAGUGCUGUUUGAGCUGACACAUACAAGAUCCAUCUGCUGAGAUCUGUGCCUUAGCAGUGAAGGAUCAAAACUCUCAUGGAUCAGUCUGCCAAAGGGGAUCAGGUCUGCUUAGUAACUCAUCUCUUAAAUUUUCCUGAACACUUUUAUUUGUGAGUCAGUCCUGAUCUUACACAAUAUUGGGGUCUAUCAAAUUUAUCUCCUACAGUUCUGUUGUAUUUUGCUGUCUGCGUUGUGCACUGUAUAUGGGAUUUUGAUGGUCUAUUAAGUGAAGUUUAUCAUUAUAUAUAUUAAUCAGAAGGAUAUUAGUGUUAGAUUUAAAAAAAAACGGAUUCCCGAUGACGAACAUCAGUACUCUGAUCAGACGCAACGGUCUUUGUAACCACUAAGGGGCACUGCUGCACAGGAAACUCCGUAAGUCUUAAUAUACAAGCAUGUAGUUCCUGCUGCGGGCCAACAGGAGGCGCAGCGAAAAUUUGAAUUUUGUUUUCUAUAUAUACUUAUUCAUUGACUGAUUGGUCAUCAUUUUGAAUCAUGAAGCUUCCUCUGCUGCUGCUCUGCUCUGUGCUGCUGCUCUCCAUCUCAGGUCUGUCUCUUUUUUAAGGUUUAUUUAUCACAUGUUUAAGCUACAGAGUCAAAACUCUUUAAUGGCCAAAGUACCAACUUGUAAAGCUCCAAACUGAUUGAACCUCAAACUGACCACAGUUACUCUGCUGUCACUGUGAUGAUUAAUCUUGGAACAGAGCUCAGAUUAAAGGCCAGUGGAAAAAAGUUUUUUGGACUUUAGGAUUCAUUAAGGGAAUUAUUCAUUCAUGGACAUGUUGAUUUAUGAUGAAUAGAGUGUAAACACAGAUUAGUGUGUUUAUUUUUGUUUGCUUUAACAUGUUUUUUGUUUUUUACAGACAGACUGUGACAUUAAUGUGUUAACUAUGAACUGUUUCUGACUAUGAUCUAAGUAUGCAUUACUGAACUCCAUUAAUCAGGACUGAAAUUCUAUCUUUAUAAGGGAAAAGGCUGUGAGAUGAAAUAGUUCCUCUUUCACAGGUUGUCAACCUCACUUCAGGUCCUUUUUACAGAGACAGAAAAGAUGCAGAGUGAUGAUCUGCUGGGUCACAUUUCUGAGCCAAACACUGUGACAUCUUCCCAUUGUUCUCUAACGAAUGUGUUUGUGUGUCUUCAGAGAUACGGACUGAUAUUAGAUUGUUUUUUUAUCCAGUUUUCUCAUAGAGGAGGCUGUGGUUUUUUCUCUCAGUCCAUGUCACCGUCUUACGGCAAUAAAACAUAGCUUUAAGCUCCACCACAGUGAGCAAUAAUCAUUGGAGGACAGUAAAGAAUUGUAUUUAGUCUCCUCAAAGAAUAAUACUACAGCGAAUACUCAAAAAUGGACUUUGCCAUGACCUACAUUAACACACAACAGGUGGAUAUUUUUUCCCACCUUAUUGUUCACAGCUUGUAACCUUAGAGCCUUGCUUCUCUUCACACACCUGACUGUUAUCUACUGUUUUAUUUAGAAAAUUAAAAAAUUAGACCGGUCCCUUUUAAAGCUUUCAAUCCCUUCUCUGACAGAAAAGCCACACCUGCCACAUUCAUCUACAGAUUAUUACUCAGAUUGGAGUCACUCUCUGUUCAACUGAAUCUGAUGUGUAAUGUGUAUACGUGCAUGCGUGCAUGUGUGUGUGUGUGUGUGUGUGUGUGUGUAGUCCUGUCUCAGGAAAAUGAGGGUCCACCUGAUGGACAAGGAGACUCUGCUGAACCCUGGGCGGUAAGACUCAGAAACACACACAUUAACACACUAAUACUCAUGCAGAGCUCAGAGGAGUGGUGUGUUUCCGUUGAUGUUAAGUUGUAAACAUGAUUUCGUCACUUCUAAACCUUCUGGGGUGAAUUUACCAAGAACAGAGUGGAGUUGCCUUUUGUACCAUGAGUUGUGCAUCAUUUGCCUCUGCUCUGAGCUCCAUCUCCACCACUCAUGUACAUUUGUGUAGUAAUUAAAGGCUACAAAUUUAUUUAUGAGAUGCGUGUGUGUGUGUGUUUUUGCGUGUGUUUUUGUGUAUGUGUUUUUGUGUUUUAUCCAGGCGCAUUGUGAGAAAUACAAAUUACCUUACUGCCAUCGGGAUUAUAACCCUGUUUGUGGUGAUGAUGGCGUAAUCUACAGUAACGAGUGUACACUCUGUUUUCACAACUUGUAAGAUGUGCACACACACACACACACACACACACGCACGCACGCACGCACGCAGGCACACACACACACACACACACACACACACACACACACACACACACACACACACACAAAUCUGCUCUUUCAAUCCUUUCUACCUGUUAAGGUAAUUCCUUGAGACAGCUGAGUUCUCAGAGUUUUUUUGUGACCACUAAUAUCUGCUCUGAGAUCAAUCUGAUGUUUUCAUCCCAUUGUCUUUGCUCUUACUGAGCUCAGAUCAAUGGAUAGCUUAGUUUGAGCAGAGAGAGCAGUGUGUUGUUAGCAUGCAGAUGGAUCACGAUGGCUGCAUCACCGAGUUUAAAGAGAUUUUAGGGUGAACAGGUUGUAUUUCUGUGAGUUGGGCUCUUUUAUGCUCUAGUGAGACUUUGUGAGAUUCUGGAUACAUGAUUUUGGCCAGUAUGCAGUAUGUCUCCAGAAAAUAAAAAGAGGCUGAGAGAGGAACCCUGAGGAACACCAUACUGAGGUUUAUCAGAGAGACAGAAAAACUCCUGUCAGAGAUAUAUUUACAGUCUAUAGCUCCCACACUCUGAUUUCUCAGACUAGUUUUAUAAUAUUCGUAUUAACUCCACACACACAUUUCAAAUGUAAAAACUAACUCCUUGAAUAUUGUUCAAGAUUUUUUUUUUGUUUUUCUACAGGGAGAAUCACGCCACUGUGAAAAUCCUGAGAGAAGGGAAAUGCGAUUAACUGCUGUGUGCCACACACAUGCACACACAUACUGAAUAAAGUCUCAUACUGAUUCCCUCACA
RNAcentral lists this long non-coding RNA (17320 nucleotides) under Xyrichtys novacula (pearly razorfish). The record is from RNAcentral. Lineage: Eukaryota; Metazoa; Chordata; Actinopteri; Labriformes; Labridae.